AGGGGGGAAGUGAAACGUUCUCCCCCCACUCCAACACCAACACCAACCGACAUCUUGCUUGGAGCCCUAAGUCGCCGACAUCUUAACCCAACACUAAUCGAAGCUCAACCGGCCGUCGCACUAGCCCAGGGAUAGUGAAAUCAAUCGGUGCCCAACCCUGAAGUUCAUACCAGUGGCGAAGCAGCGAUGAAGGCAAACCUGGAGAUGGUGAAAUCACCCCUACAAAUCUUAACUGAACUUGAAAUCGACGAUCGCACUACCUCCCCCUCAGUUCAGUGACGAAGCAGCGAAGAAUGUCAAAAGUGUCUCCUCCGAUAGAAUCUGCUGCAAAAGUUCGAAUGUUUUCGUUUUUGUUUCAUCCUCAAACCCCCCACAAUUAGGAUUCACAUUGUGUCAUUUGCAAUCAUCCAGUAGAAUGAGAGGAAGAAACUUUGGAGUUUGUCAUGGAUGUAGAAGCAACACUCAAUAUUUCAGACAAUGCCAAUCAAAAUAACGAUGCCUUAGUUGUGAUCACGGAUAUCAAAAAUGUUUUGAGGUCAAACGGGAUACCGGUAACAAAGGACAUUUGUUCUUCACAUGUAGCAAUGAGUGCGGAUACUUUGAUUGGGUGAAAGAUGAAGUCUUAGGCGAGGAAUCGAGUUCCAUUAAUUAUUCGGUGAAUCAUGCACCCAACAAGGAAGACAAAGAGUUGCGAACGCUGUUUGAUGGACUAGCUAGAAUUAGCAAGAAACGAGGCAUCGACAUAUCACUCAAGCUGACUUUCAGCAAGGGAAAAGAUAUUGCCAAAUGUGAUGAGCAAGGAAAGGGGUCGAGUUGAAGGGUUUAUUUAUGUAUGUGGUUGACGAAUUGAUAUCCUUGUUCUCAUGUACAAAUGUGGUACUUCCACUUUGACAUUGUUUCCCAGUGUAUGUAAUUAGGUGCUUGCAACAUCCUAUAUACUAUUUGCAAUAAUAUAAGUAAUUCCAAGUAA
Molecule: long non-coding RNA, 970 nt
Organism: Olea europaea var. sylvestris
Lineage: Eukaryota; Viridiplantae; Streptophyta; Magnoliopsida; Lamiales; Oleaceae
Exons: 2
Source: RefSeq, a predicted model, not a curated record